This is a long non-coding RNA of Ipomoea nil (Japanese morning glory), 496 nucleotides long. RefSeq lists it as uncharacterized. The record is from RefSeq and is a predicted model, not a curated record. NCBI's taxonomy places the organism in Eukaryota, Viridiplantae, Streptophyta, Magnoliopsida, Solanales, Convolvulaceae. The transcript has 2 exons.
AUAAGGACAGCCUAAGCUUCAACCAGAGGAAGAUAAUGAACUGUCACCUUGUGCAUGCUAUGAGGAAUAAUAUAUAGCAGACGGAACCCAGAAGCAUAGAACAAGCUGAGCACAGACGAGAGCGGCGGGAAACAGAGGUUGCAACGUCUUGGGAGUGUGGCCUACCAAAGGGAGAUACCGACGGCCUUCAAGCCCUCUGUGUAAGUUUCAUGCGGGAGAUCCUAAUGACUAAUGAGUGACAGUAAUGUACACAAAGCCUGUAACAUCGAACGUGCAGUGAAAUUUCAAAAUGAACUCAACAACCGCUGAUGAUGACAUACAAUGUUUAAAGAUGUUAAAAUACACUACUAUCCGUUGUUUAUAAAUAUUUUUUGGGACUUGUAUAUUUUGGAUGCUGGUAUUAUUUAUUUUAGGUUUUUUAGCAUUCAAUCUUAUGUUGGAAUACACACAAGUGAUUAAUGAAAUGAUCUACGAGUGGCACACACUCAUUCCUUAA